UUUUGAAUUGUUCUGUUCCCGCGUCUUGGCGUCCAUUCACCAUUCACGCCGAGGAAACCACUCAUAUGAAAACACGCCAAGGAAAUCGCGCCAGAGAAAACAAAAUUUCGAAUAAACUGCCAUUUCGACUUAUUGAUCUUGUGAGAGGAGAAAAGUAGCGCGUGGCAUCAUGGGUAGUAAAUCGCUUGGGAGCUGAAAUCGCAUGAAAUCUUUGCUUCGCUAUAGACGCACGAGUUGUUGCCGAAACGCAAAAAAAAAACGCGGGCGACUAAUCUCACCGUCGUCUGCCCUAAAACCCUGGGCUGAGAAUCUGCACCAAACAAUGUGGCCGACAGCAUAAAAUAAAGUGACAUAGCCAAGCGGGUUUGCUGCAACUUAUUGACUUUAUAUGAAUUCACCUGGAAGGGUGAUAUAUAAAAGGGAAUGUAAACCCCAAAAUAAAAUAUUUUGCACUUGGAAGAAAAUGUCAUUGAUUUAAUAAAAAACAAAAUCAGAUGGGGUUUCCCUUCUGCCAGAGCUGCUGUGGGAUUGGGAUGGGGAUCCUCCGAGACUCCUUGCCUGGAGCACAGACUGUACCCCUGUCCUGGGGCACCCAGAUACCUUAGGAGAUCCUUCAGGUCUGAAAUACAGGACUGCUUCGUGGAAACCGGGACCAUUAGGAGGUGUGAAAAACAGAUGGAGCAAACUUCACCUACACUCGUGGUUGAGAUGGCUUACCAUGACCCAACAUUGCAUUCCAUUUCAUCAACUGGGGCCAACACUGACUGCCAAACAUCAUGGAGGAAAACCAAGGUUUAAAAAGAGAACAUAAAUAAUGAGAGUUCAUGGCAGAACAAGGGGAAGAAAGAGACAAUUAGAAGAGCCUCUGCCUGAUUAAACUGAUGUGAGACUCUCUGGAACAGGCUGUCCUUACGCAACUGGCACAUCAGAGGGCGAAUGAUCAACUGAGACAUUCUUGGCAAUUUACUGAUUGCUGUUCUUCUGAGGUUAUAAACGGGCUAAAUGUGCCGGUACCACAUGUACGGUUAGAUCUGGCUCCCAAGAGCAGGAAUGAAUCACACACCAAAACAGCGCACCAAGAGGGGCUCCUCCUUCUAAAUUUAUAUUGUUUUUCAUUACUUCCCUCUGAGUCCCAAUUAUAAUAAAGUCACAUACGUGCCUCCCAGGUUUAAAAACAAUAUCUGUUUUUUACUUACAAUGAAAAUAAAGUUAUGGGCUGUUUUGGCCUUUCUAAUAAAGGGGAACCUCUCAUGAAAACCGAACUGCAUUGU
This is a long non-coding RNA of Xenopus laevis (African clawed frog), 1271 nucleotides long. RefSeq lists it as uncharacterized. The record is from RefSeq and is a predicted model, not a curated record. The transcript has 4 exons. Lineage: Eukaryota; Metazoa; Chordata; Amphibia; Anura; Pipidae.